Molecule: ribosomal RNA, 460 nt
Filed under: uncultured bacterium
Lineage: Bacteria
Description: bacterial SSU rRNA
Rfam family: Bacterial small subunit ribosomal RNA
Source: RNAcentral
AGCGAACGCUGGCGGCAGGCUUAACACAUGCAAGUCGAACGCCAUCUUCGGAUGGAGUGGCAGACGGGUGAGUAACGCGUGGGAACGUACCCUUUGGUUCGGAAUAUUCUCGGGAAACUGACGCUAAUACCGCAUAUCCCCUGAGGGGGAAAGCAGAGAUGCGCCCACGGAGCAGCCUGCGUCCGAUUAGCUAGUUGGUUAGGUAAAGGCUGACCAAGGCGACGAUCGGUAGCUGGUCUGAGAGGAUGAUCAGCCACACUGGAACUGAGACACGGUCCAGACUCCUACGGGAGGCAGCAGUGGGGAAUAUUGGACAAUGGGCGCAAGCCUGAUCCAGCAAUGCCGCGUGCAGGAAGAAGGCCUUCGGGUUGUAAACUGCUUUUGUACGGAACGAAAAGGUCUGGGUUAAUACCCUGGGCUCAUGACGGUACCGUAAGAAUAAGCACCGGCUAACUACGUG